RNA transcript from Vespula vulgaris, 6163 nucleotides. It is a transcript of the gene named neprilysin-1-like, with no coding region annotated. The record is from RefSeq and is a predicted model, not a curated record. Lineage: Eukaryota; Metazoa; Arthropoda; Insecta; Hymenoptera; Vespidae. The transcript has 13 exons.
AGAGAGAGAGAGAGAGAGAAAGAGGGAAGGAGAAAGUAGUAUGUAAGGCUGCAGUUAGGCUGUUCUGAGGGAUGGCUCGUUAUAUCGAGUGGCCGCUUGUUGCAUCCCCGCUCGUCAUGAUGUAAACAAGGGGUUGCGCGCGCCUAACGCCCUUCCACAGUGACCGGUUCUCUCUCUGUCUCUUUUUCUCUCUUUCUCGAAUGCGCGAACUCGUCCUCCUUUUACUGUGUCAACUUCCUGGAUCGAAGUAGUAUCGAGCUAGUCCUGCAGGAUACUUCGAACCAUAAUCGAAUACAGAAAGAGAUAGAGAGAGAAAGAAGGAGAGAGAGAGAGAGAGAGAGAGAGAGGGAAAGAAAAAGAAGAAUUUAGUGGAAUUGAGAAUUGAAGGAGUGAAAAGAACGACAGAUAGAGAAACAGAGAAAGAGGAUGAGAGAGAGAGAGAGAGAGAGAGAGAGAGAAGUGUGACAAUGAUAAUAGAGCGGGAAAGUGAAGAAACCGAUGUCGAUGUACGUUCACCCUCCCUCUUGACCGUCGAACCGUGCCAACGGUACUCCCACCCCUUCGGAUAGUUUGCUUUUCCACCACCUUAUAGUGUAAACAAAACGAAGAUAGACCGACGAAGAUAUUCUGUGCCAUAGAUAAAGAGAGAGAGAAUGAAAGAGUGAGAGUGAGAGGGAGAGAGAAAGAAAGGGGAAAUUACAUUGGAUGAUAUAAAUAAAACAAGGAUAGAUGAUAUUCUUUUGAGAAAGUGAAAACACGAAGAGAGAGAGAGAGAGAGAGAGAGAGAGAGAGAAAGAGAGAGAUUAUAAAUAAAAUAAAGAUAUGUAAUAUUAUGUGAGAAAGAUAAGUAAUAUUUUGAACGAGAGAGAGAGAGAGAGAGAGAGAGAGAGAGAGAGAGAGAUACGUAUUUGUAGAAGAUAGUAUAAACAAAAAGUGAGGAUAAAUAGAUAGAUAGAUAGAUAGAUAGAUGUAGACAGAGAGGGAGAAGGAUAUAGGUGAGUGAGUGAGAACGAGAUAGAUAGAUAGAGAGGGAGAGAGAGGGUGGACGUUUCGUAGUGGAGAGGGAAAUAAGAGGAUACGAAAAGGGGCUGCGAGAGGUGGCAGACCAGCUGCUAAGCUCAGAGCGCGUUGAUUCGUCUCGGUGAGUGGGUGUUUUUCUUCUCGAGUUUUAACUUUACCGACAAUAAGUAUUAUCUUAUUGUUGUAAAGUGUCCUUCGAUUGAUCCUUUUCUUUCGGAUUCUUUUUUUCAUUUUCUUCUCUUUCACUCUUUGCUUCAUUAUCUUCGAAAUAUAUAUUUUUUUUAUUUUUCUAUAUUUCUUUAUCGCUCUCUUUCUUUCUCUCUCUCUCUUUCUCUCUCUCUCUUUCUCUCUUUCUCUCUUUCUCUCUCUCUCUCUCAUACUUUAUUCUUAUUCGUUAUCAUCGUCGAUAUCGACUACGUGGAUUAUGAAUUUUUUCGAGCUCGUUCGUGUGUGGAUAAAAAAAGAAGAAGUGGAAGACGAAGAAGAGGAAGAAGAGGAAGAAGAGGAAGAAGAAAAAAUCUCAAGGACGAUUUGAAUUCACGUGUGACGAUUAAUAAACUGUUUCUUUUCUUUUCUUUUUUCUUUUUUUUUUUUUUUUGAAAGAUUUUUCUUUCUAAGAAUGAAAGAUUAGAUCGUAUGAAAAGAAAGAUCAGAUAUUAUAUAUUUGAUAUCGUACGUGCAAAGAGAGACAGAGAGAGAGAGAGAGAGAGAGAGAGAGAAAUAACAUAGGUAAUAUUUAUUGUCGAAGACGAGUAUCAUUAUUUUCUUGUAUUAUUCUUUAAACGUGUAAGGGUGAGAUAGCAAAAGGAUUAAUAGGAUGAAGUCCGAAAGUAAUAACGGAUAUAUCAGAGCUAAUGUUAUCCCGGAACAAAAUGAACUUACGUCUCCCACGGGACAAGACGUUUCACUAACCGGAAGUCCACUUCAGGUUACCUAUGGACCAAGAGGUGGUACAGUGACCAGCGUUCUUCAUCCAACGAAUACGAGAAGACAGGUUGCUGGAAUAACACGAGCUACUUCGGUAACAAGAAGACGAAGUGGGGCUCCUAUUAGGCAACAAAUGUUAGGCAUAUUGGCUGCCACAUUGCUCGGCAUUUCUCUUUUAAUUCUUCUCGUCUUGGUAUUAAACACGACGCGGGAAUGCGUCCAAGAGCCACGUCCGAAUGUAUGCAUGUCCGAAGAAUGCGUCAGAACCGCCGCAAGUUUGCUCUCAGCGAUGGACCGAACUGUUGCACCCUGUGUAAACUUUUUUCAAUACGCAUGCGGUACUUGGAAUCGUUUGCACGUGAUACCAGAAGACAGAAGUUCUAUCAGCACGUUCGAAGUGCUCGCCGAUCAACUCCAAAUCAUUUUGAAGCGUGUUCUCGAAGAAUCACCGAACGAGAACGACAAUAAUGCAACUCUCAAGGCCAAAAUGUUCUACAAAUCGUGCAUGGACAUCCCACGUAUACGCGAGAUCGGUGACAGACCUUUGAAGAAAACAUUAGCAGCACUUGGUGGUUGGCCCGCAGUGAUUGGAGCAUCUUGGGAACCACCACCUUAUCCGAUCGAGGUUCUCUUGGGUCGUUUACGAGGUGAAUACAACGAGGGUGUUCUAAUGGAGCAAUGGGUUGGCCCGGAUGACAAGAAUUCCUCAACCAACAUCCUGCAGUUGGAUCAAAUGCAGCUGGCAUUACCUAGCCGUGAUUAUUAUCUGAAGAAGAACAGCGAGGCCGAAUUGGAUGCUUAUCAUCGUUACAUGACGAACGUAGCUGUUUUGCUUGGCGCCAAUCGUGAAAAUGCAGCACUCGAGUUUAAUCGCGUGAUCGCCCUUGAAAAACAACUUGCCAAUGCUUCGUUGCCCGAGGCCGACAGACAUGACACCUCAAUGAUCUAUAGAAAGUUAACAUUACGAGAACUACAAAAAGAGGUGCCGCAACUUAAAUGGAAAGUUUAUCUCGAGGAAUUCAUAAGUGCACCGAUUACCGAGGACGAGCCAGUAGUGGCAUACGCGAUGCCCUAUUUCCUUCAAAUGGGUCGAAUCGUACAGAAAACCGAUCGCAGGACGUUGCACAAUUACAUAUUAUGGCGAUUGGUGAUGUCUAUAAUGCCGCAUAUGAUAGACGAAUAUCAGCAAAAGAGAAUCGAGUUUCGUAAGAUAUUAUCAGGAAUCCUCAGCGAGAGAAACAGAUGGUCCCAAUGCGUCGAGUGGACCAAUAAGAAUCUUGGAAUGGCUGUGGGUGCACUUUUUAUACGUGAUAAUUUUAAUCACGAGAGCAAGGAAACUGCAUUGGAAAUGAUACGAACUAUACGCGAAGCUUUUAAUGAAUUGCUAGCUGAGAAUCAAUGGAUGGACGAUGAAACUAGAACCGUUGCCAAAGGAAAAGCUGAUUCAAUGAAUGAAAGAAUUGGUUAUCCAGAGUUUUUGAAGGAUCCAGUUAAACUUUCCUUGGAAUACGUUACGUUGAACAUAACGGAGGAUCAUUUUUUGGAAAAUGUUUUGGCGGUACAUAAGUACGACGCAUAUCACAAUCUUCAGGAAUUACGUCAACCGGUUGACAAAGACAAAUGGUCCACAGAGCCAGCCGUGUUAAAUGCAUUUUAUAAUCCUAAUAAAAACGACAUAGUAUUUCCCGCUGGUAUACUGCAACCGUUGUUCUAUUCUCAACACUUUCCUAAAUCGUUAAAUUACGGUGGAAUCGGUGUGGUGAUAGGUCAUGAAAUCACUCAUGGGUUCGAUGACAAGGGACGACAAUUUGACAAAGAUGGCAACAUGAUGCAAUGGUGGAAUAAUGCAACCAUUAAAGCAUUUCGAGAGAGAGCACAGUGUAUCGUCGAUCAAUACUCUCGAUACAAAUUACAAGAAGUUGAUCUUUACAUAAACGGCCGAAUGACGCAAGGUGAAAAUAUCGCUGAUAAUGGUGGAUUAAAACAAUCGUUUCGUGCUUACAAAAAAUGGGUCACGAUACACGGAGAGGAACCAUUGUUACCUGGGGUGAAUUUAACUCACGAUCAACUCUUCUUUCUUAAUUAUGCACAAAUUUGGUGUGGCUCGAUGAGACGAGAGGAUGCUCUAACGAAAAUACGUAGUAGCGUACACUCACCGGGUCCGGUUAGAGUGUUGGGCCCGCUUUCAAAUAGCGAGGACUUUGCCAAGGCCUAUAAUUGUCUACCAGGCUCACCGAUGAAUCCAACGCGUAAAUGUAGCGUCUGGUAAAAAUGUACGAAUUGUCAGAAAAAAAAGAAAACAAGAAGAGAUAAAAGAAGAAAAAGAUUUUUUUCGAAAGAUCUGAUUCAUUCGAAUGGAUACAAAAUAGAUAAAUAUUUGAUGAGAAUACAGAGGAUGUCAUUGUAAUACAUCCAAUAUGGACUCCAUUUUUCGUGGUAGCCAUUUUGUCGGUCGCCAUUAGACGCGUAUAUCGAACUUUACACUUUUAUCCACGAAAAUGCAAUAAUAUAAGUAUAGUUGAUAGUUGUACGAGAUGAAACAAAAAUUAAAAGAAAAUAUUUCAUUAAUAAUAACAAUAAUAAUAAUAAUAACUAUAAUAAUAAUAAUAAAAAAUAAUAAAAAUAAUAAUGAUGAUGAUAAUGAUGAUGAUGAUGAUGAUGAUGAUGAUGAUGAUGAUGAUAUAGAGAUUAUUAAAAUUCAUAAUCGUAUUGCAUAUACUGCGAUAUAUUAUGUAAAUGGUAUAUAUAUACACACAUAUACAUACCUAUAUGAGUCUAAUGUAAGACCUAACGGAGUUGUUCAAGUAUCUCGUUCAAAUGAUAUCAUCAUAUUAACGAUAUCUUAAUUCAGAAACAUAAUUAAAUAAGCUUUAAUAAUUAUCACAAAAUAUCGAACGGCCACAGUUAUUUGGACAGCUCCGCCAUAGGGAGAAAAAAAGUGCAACGUAUGUAUGUAUAUAUAAAAUUUAUGUAAGUAUGUAAGUAUGUUUGUGUGUACGUAUUGAAUGUAUUUUAUGUAUUGUAUGUAAUGUAUGUAUAUCCCAGAAAAAUUAUAGGAAGAUGUAUACAUACUUAUUUCCGGAAUUAAAUAAUUAAGUAGAUAUAAGAGGAUUAAAAAUACACACACACACAUAUAUACCUAGAUUUCACAACGAAAUUCAUCAUGAAUUUCGUUCGUUGAAUUUUUCCCAUGAUAAUGGGAAUAAAUUAAGGUAAUUCGUUAUUUUACAGGUGUUAAAAUGUUUUUAAUGGAAAUCCAUUUGAAAUAGUUACGCGUUCUAUUUAUCUGUCUACCAUUUGCAUCUGGAUAUAUCAAAAAACACAACAACAAUACGUGACGAAUGAAUGAUUCAUCAAGAAAUAAUAAUAUUAAUAAAAAAUAUAAUAAUAAUAAUGAUAAUAAUAAUAAUAAUAAUAAUAAUGACUGAAUAAAUCGACUGCGAUAUCGACCAGCAGCAGUUUUCAGGAAAGAACAAGAACAACAAUGGUAACAACAGUAAUACUAUAACAACCACAACAAUAACAACAACAACAAUAGCAGCAGCAGCAGCAGCAGCAGCAGGAGUGUAGCAACGAUAUUGUUGUUGAAGCAGCCAUCUCAAACUCAAUGAGAACAUUCAAAAAAUAGGCAAGAGACCAUAAAAGAUCUUCAUUAUCUCACACGCUCCAUAAUAUAGUCGUGUAACAACGUAUGUAAGCCGAAUUGUGAAAAAAUAUUUUCUACAAUUACGAGAUGAUAUCUCUAUUUUGUCUUCUUCAAAAGAGAGCAUAUAAAGUAUGUAUAUAUAUACAUGCAAAGAUUUGACUUAUACUUCAAGAGCGUGACGAGAUGAUCCCAUAAAAAAUAACGUUGUAAUAGCAAUGAAAAGAAAAAAAGAAAGUUCGUAGUUUUUGUCGAUUUUAUUUAUUUGUUUAUUUACUUAUUUAUUCAUUUUUCUGUUUUUUCUUUUCUCUCUCUUUUUUUUUUUUUUUUUUUGAAUAAUAAAAAACCAAUACCGAUAGAUAUAUGUCGGAGCAUAUUUUUCAUAUUUAAAUUUUUAUUUAUUAAAUGCUAUGUAGAUUGUUUCGUGUAUUAUUUGACAAACAGUGCGUUAAAUUCAGGAUCUUGCAGGAUUUAAUGGAUUCUAUUGAAAAGUUGUUUCACGGGAUAUUCUCGAUAUAUAUAUAUAUAUAUAUAUAUAUAUAUAUAUAUAUAUAUAUAUAUAUAUUGAUAUAU